This 2379-nucleotide ribosomal RNA is filed under the name Clostridium perfringens. Its description in RNAcentral is "partial 23S ribosomal RNA". It matches the Rfam family "Bacterial large subunit ribosomal RNA", at positions 513 to 2905 of the family's 2925-position model. Lineage: Bacteria; Bacillati; Bacillota; Clostridia; Eubacteriales; Clostridiaceae. The record is from RNAcentral.
GGUGAAAAGAACCCCGGGAGGGGAGUGAAAUAGAACCUGAAACCGUGUGCCUACAACCGCUCAGAGCCCCUUAUGAGGGUGAUGAGGUGCUUUUUGUAGAACGAGCCAACGAGUUACGGUAUGUAGCAAGGUUAAGUACUUAAGGUACGGAGCCGAAGGGAAACCGAGUCUGAAUAGGGCGACUAGUUGCAUGCCGUAGACCCGAAACCGGGUGACCUAUCCAUGGCCAGGUUGAAGCGAGGGUAAAACCUCGUGGAGGACCGAACCACGUUGCUGUUGAAAAAGCAUGGGAUGAGCUGUGGAUAGCGGAGAAAUUCCAAUCGAACCCGGAGAUAGCUGGUUCUCUCCGAAAUAGCUUUAGGGCUAGCGUCGAGUAUGAGUAGUGGAGGUAGAGCACUGAAUGGGCUAGGGGGCAUAGCGCUUACCGAACCUUAUCAAACUCCGAAUGCCACAUACUUUGAGCUCGGCAGUCAGACUACGAAUGAUAAGAUCCGUGGUCAAAAGGGAAACAGCCCAGAUCGUCAGCUAAGGUCCCAAAGUGUAAGUUAAGUGGGAAAGGAUGUGAGAUUUCUAAGACAACUAGGAUGUUGGCUUAGAAGCAGCCAUUCAUUAAAAGAGUGCGUAAUAGCUCACUAGUCGAGAGAUCUUGCGCCGAAAAUGUAACGGGGCUAAACUUACCACCGAAGCUACGGGCUUGAACUUAGUUCAAGCGGUAGGAGAGCGUCGUAACCGGGCUGAAGUCGUACCGUAAGGAGCGGUGGACUGGUUACGAGUGAGAAUGUUGGCAUCAGUAGCGAGAUGUGGGUGAGAAUCCCACAGGCCGAAAACCUAAGGUUUCCUCAGGAAGGUUCGUCCGCUGAGGGUUAGUCGGGACCUAAGCCGAGGCCGAAAGGCGUAGGUGAUGGACAACUGGUUGAUAUUCCAGUACCACUACCAUCGUUAUUAUCGAUGGCGUGACGCAGGAGGAUAGUGUGUGCUAGCUAUUGGAUGCUAGUCUAAGCGUUUAGGCAGUGAGAGUAGGCAAAUCCGCUCUCAUAAUGCUGAGGCGUGAUGGGGAAGGUUCUACGGAACCGAAGUACAUGAUUCCACGCUGCCAAGAAAAGCGUCUAGAGAGAGAAGUAGUGCCCGUACCGCAAACCGACACAGGUAGGUGAGGAGAGAAUCCUAAGGCCGGCGGAAGAAUUACAGUUAAGGAACUCGGCAAAUUGACCCCGUAAGUUCGCGAGAAGGGGUGCCUACGAGAGUAGGCCGCAGAGAAUAGGCCCAAGCAACUGUUUAGCAAAAACACAGGUCUCUGCUAAAGCGUAAGCUGAUGUAUAGGGGCUGACGCCUGCCCGGUGCUGGAAGGUUAAGGGGAACACUUAGCGCAAGCGAAGGUGUGAACUUAAGCCCCAGUAAACGGCGGCCGUAACUAUAACGGUCCUAAGGUAGCGAAAUUCCUUGUCAGGUAAGUUCUGACCCGCACGAAUGGCGUAAUGACUUGGGCACUGUCUCAACUGUAAAUCCGGCGAAGUUGUAGUGCGAGUGAAGAUGCUCGCUACCCGCGAUUGGACGGAAAGACCCCGUAGAGCUUUACUGUAGCUUAGCAUUGAGUUUUGGUAUUGUCUGUACAGGAUAGGUGGGAGACUAGGAAACCAGGGCGUCAGCCUUGGUGGAGUCAACCUUGGGAUACCACCCUGACAGUACUGAAAUUCUAACUGGCGGCCAUGAAUCUGGUCACAGGACAUUGUUAGGUGGGCAGUUUGACUGGGGCGGUCGCCUCCUAAAAAGUAACGGAGGCGCCCAAAGGUUCCCUCAGAACGGUCGGAAAUCGUUCGAAGAGUGCAAAGGCAGAAGGGAGCCUGACUGCGACACCCACAAGUGGAGCAGGGACGAAAGUCGGGCUUAGUGAUCCGGUGGUACCUCGUGGGAGGGCCAUCGCUCAACGGAUAAAAGCUACCUCGGGGAUAACAGGCUGAUCUCCCCCAAGAGUCCACAUCGACGGGGAGGUUUGGCACCUCGAUGUCGGCUCGUCGCAUCCUGGGGCUGAAGUAGGUCCCAAGGGUUGGGCUGUUCGCCCAUUAAAGCGGCACGCGAGCUGGGUUCAGAACGUCGUGAGACAGUUCGGUCCCUAUCCGUCGCGGGCGUAGGAAAUUUGAGAGGAGCUGUCCUUAGUACGAGAGGACCGGGAUGGACUGACCUCUGGUGUACCAGUUGUUCCGCCAGGAGCACAGCUGGGUAGCUAAGUCGGGAAUGGAUAAACGCUGAAAGCAUCUAAGCGUGAAGCCAACCUCAAGAUGAGAUUUCCCAUAGCGUAAGCUAGUAAGAUCCCUUGAAGAACACAAGGUUGAUAGGUCGGGGGUGUAAGCAUGGUAACAUGUUCAGCUGACCGAUACUAAU